This 86-nucleotide transfer RNA is filed under the name Rhodnius prolixus. RNAcentral describes it as "Selenocysteine transfer RNA". It matches the Rfam family "Selenocysteine transfer RNA". The record is from Rfam by way of RNAcentral. Lineage: Eukaryota; Metazoa; Arthropoda; Insecta; Hemiptera; Reduviidae.
GCCCAGUUGAACCUCGGUGGUCCGGGGUGAAGGCUUCAAACCUUUAGCCGGCUAGCGUCGGAGUGGUUCGAUUCCACCUGCUGGGC